GACGAACGCUGGCGGCGUGCUUAACACAUGCAAGUCGAACGGAAAGGCCCUGCUUUUGUGGGGUGCUCGAAUGGCGAACGGGUGAGUAACACGUGAGUAACCUGCCCUUAACUUUGGGAUAACUUCAGGAAACUGGGGCUAAUACCGGAUAGGAGCUCCUGCUGCAUGGUGGGGGUUGGAAAGUUUCGGCGGUUGGGGAUGGACUCGCGGCUUAUCAGCUUGUUGGUGGGGUAGUGGCUUACCAAGGCUUUGACGGGUAGCCGGCCUGAGAGGGUGACCGGCCACAUUGGGACUGAGAUACGGCCCAGACUCCUACGGGAGGCAGCAGUGGGGAAUAUUGCACAAUGGGCGGAAGCCUGAUGCAGCAACGCCGCGUGCGGGAUGACGGCCUUCGGGUUGUAAACCGCUUUCGCCUGUGACGAAGCGUGAGUGACGGUAAUGGGUAAAGAAGCACCGGCUAACUACGUG
This 468-nucleotide ribosomal RNA is filed under the name uncultured bacterium. RNAcentral's name for it is "partial 16S ribosomal RNA". It matches the Rfam family "Bacterial small subunit ribosomal RNA", at positions 28 to 507 of the family's 1533-position model. The record is from RNAcentral.